Molecule: unclassified non-coding RNA, 401 nt
Filed under: soil metagenome
Description: partial contains 5.8S ribosomal RNA, internal transcribed spacer 2, and large subunit ribosomal RNA
Rfam family: 5.8S ribosomal RNA (bases 1-121)
Source: RNAcentral
GAUGAAGAACGUAGCAAAAUGCGAUAAGUAAUGUGAAUUGCAGAAUUCAGUGAAUCAUCGAAUCUUUGAACGCACCUUGCGCCCUUUGGCCAUUCCGAAGGGCAUGCCUGUUUGAGUAUCAUGAACACCUCAACUCUCAUGGCUUGCCAUGAUGAGCUUGGACUUUGGGGGUCUUGCUGGCCUGUGGUCGGCUCCUCUCAAAUGAAUCAGCUUGCCAGUGUUUGGUGGCAUCACAAGUGUGAUAACUAUCUGCGCUCGUGGUUUCCAUCAGAUAACCUCCAGUGAUGGAGGUUCGCUGGAGCUCAUAAAUGUCUCUCCUAAGCGAGGACAGCUCUUUUAAUGUUUGAUCUCAAAUCAGGUAGGACUACCCGCUGAACUUAAGCAUAUCAAUAAGCGAAGGA